UACGAAGGGGGCUAGCGUUGCUCGGAAUCACUGGGCGUAAAGGGUGCGUAGGCGGGUCUUUAAGUCAGGGGUGAAAUCCUGGAGCUCAACUCCAGAACUGCCUUUGAUACUGAAGAUCUUGAGUUCGGGAGAGGUGAGUGGAACUGCGAGUGUAGAGGUGAAAUUCGUAGAUAUUCGCAAGAACACCAGUGGCGAAGGCGGCUCACUGGCCCGAUACUGACGCUCAGGCACGAAAGCGUGGGGAGCAAACAGG
RNAcentral lists this ribosomal RNA (253 nucleotides) under uncultured bacterium. RNAcentral's name for it is "partial 16S ribosomal RNA". It matches the Rfam family "Bacterial small subunit ribosomal RNA", at positions 524 to 776 of the family's 1533-position model. The record is from RNAcentral.